This 38-nucleotide transfer RNA is filed under the name Glandularia scrobiculata. Its description in RNAcentral is "partial tRNA-Ser". The record is from RNAcentral. Lineage: Eukaryota; Viridiplantae; Streptophyta; Magnoliopsida; Lamiales; Verbenaceae.
GGAGAGAUGGCUGAGUGGUUGAUAGCCCCGGUCUUGAA